GUGGGGAAUAUUGGACAAUGGGCGAAAGCCUGAUCCAGCCAUGCCGCGUGUGUGAAGAAGGUCUUCGGAUUGUAAAGCACUUUAAGUUGGGAGGAAGGGUAGUAACCUAAUACGUUGCUACUUUGACGUUACCGACAGAAUAAGCACCGGCUAACUUCGUGCCAGCAGCCGCGGUAAUACGAAGGGUGCAAGCGUUAAUCGGAAUUACUGGGCGUAAAGCGCGCGUAGGUGGUUCAGUAAGUUGGAAGUGAAAUCCCCGGGCUCAACCUGGGAACUGCUUUCAAAGCUGCUGAGCUAGAGUACGGUAGAGGGUGGUGGAAUUUCCUGUGUAGCGGUGAAAUGCGUAGAUAUAGGUAGGAACACCAGUGGCGAAGGCGACCACCUGGACUGAUACUGACACUGAGGUGCGAAAGCGUGGGGAGCAAACAGGAUUAGAUACCCUAGUAGUCC
Molecule: ribosomal RNA, 450 nt
Filed under: uncultured bacterium
Lineage: Bacteria
Description: partial 16S ribosomal RNA
Rfam family: Bacterial small subunit ribosomal RNA
Source: RNAcentral